UAGAGCGUUAAAGUUUUGCGAAGCCAGGGGGCGGGGCUACUUGAUUGACAGUCCGGUCUGGAAUGAUUGACAGGUCCUAUGGAGGAGGCAGCAGAGACUCUGCUCUCCUCGUUUGGAUUAAUUCUGAUAUAAUAACUGUUGGUUUAUUUAUCAGUGAAGCAGCAGAACAUUUUCCACAGACAGUUUUCCUGCCCGUUGGCUUGUUUUAACCAGUUUUCUACCUUCGGCUGAUUCUACCAGCAGACACUGAAAGGACUCUUAUAGUUCGAGUGAAAGUAGCAGUUCCUCCUGAAGGUCAGAGAUUGCAGCAUCUGAGGGCCUCUUCAAAAGAAGACGUAGUUGAUGAAGGCGUUCUGGAGCAGGACCAGAAAGACCACGACCAAGCAGCCUUGAGAUCUUAGGCAGUGUCUCCCUCAGGUCCCUCUCUAUCUCCCUACAUGUCCACCAACCACUGGAACACAUCUCCAAAGUUCUGCUGGGCCAGCUCAGCUUCCCCUCAGAAGAAGUGCCGCCACCUGCCAGAUGAAGGAGCCUUUUGAGAGGCAGCUGGCAUCGUGAUUGGACUGUACUUUGGUCUGUUCCAAUCCAGCUUCAGCUCCAGAGACGGCAGGCGGGACGAGUCAACGGAGGCCGGGUGGACGAAGGCAUGCAGCUGAGUACAAUCCAGAAAACAACAGAGGAGGAGUGCAGGGCCAGAACAAGCAGAGUAGCAUCGUAUGUCUCUUAGAAAACAUCAUAGUAUAGCCUUUGGUAUGAAAAAACGCCAUCAUAUACAUCGUAUAUUGUACAAAUAACAAGUCAAAGCAAAGAGACAUACAUUGUAGAAUUAUAGUAAUUGUGGGCUGACUGAUUUACUGA
Amphiprion ocellaris (clown anemonefish) is the source of this 858-nucleotide long non-coding RNA. RefSeq lists it as uncharacterized. The transcript has 3 exons. Lineage: Eukaryota; Metazoa; Chordata; Actinopteri; Pomacentridae. The record is from RefSeq and is a predicted model, not a curated record.